This 468-nucleotide ribosomal RNA is filed under the name uncultured bacterium. Its description in RNAcentral is "partial 16S ribosomal RNA". It matches the Rfam family "Bacterial small subunit ribosomal RNA", at positions 28 to 507 of the family's 1533-position model. The record is from RNAcentral.
GACGAACGCUGGCGGCGUGCUUAACACAUGCAAGUCGAACGGAAAGGCCCUGCUUUUGUGGGGUGCUCGAGUGGCGAACGGGUGAGUAACACGUGAGUAACCUGCCCUUGACUCUGGGAUAACUUCAGGAAACUGGGGCUAAUACCGGAUAGGAGCUCCUGCUGCAUGGUGGGGGUUGGAAAGUUUCGGCGGUUGGGGAUGGACUCGCGGCUUAUCAGCUUGUUGGUGGGGUAGUGGCUUACCAAGGCUUUGACGGGUAGCCGGCCUGCGAGGGUGACCGGCCACAUUGGGACUGAGAUACGGCCCAGACUCCUACGGGAGGCAGCAGUGGGGAAUAUUGCACAAUGGGCGGAAGCCUGAUGCAGCAACGCCGCGUGCGGGAUGACGGCCUUCGGGUUGUAAACCGCUUUCGCCUGUGACGAAGCGUGAGUGACGGUAAUGGGUAAAGAAGCACCGGCUAACUACGUG